UUUUCUUUUUGUCUUGAAUAAUAAAGAGACUACAUUUUGAAAACCCUAGUAUAAAAUGCUCUCAACCUCAUUCUUGAGAGGGAGCACCUUCACAUCCUCUUUUUCUCCCUUACAAAAGAAGGCAGCCAUCUUCACACAAGAACACCCGGACACAUGCACACAGAAAAGGGACGGACACAAAGAAAUGGAAAAAAAAACUUAGAGAAAACGAGGGGGAUGAAACAGUGACAAAAUUAAGGAAUUCGCUGACAACUGACUCCACUUUUUCUUCUUUUUAUUUCUAGCAGACCACUAGAUAUUUUAAAAACAUUGAAACACGUCAUCUUCCUUUUCAAACUUCAAUUCUCUUUUCAUUUCCUUGUUGACCGACGACAGCCGCCAACUCCGCCACCACCCUCCACCGUGCUCAGCUUUGAGGGUUUUCAUAAGUUUGCAGUUCGCAUGCUCGACGCUUUGCCUCAGUAAUCAGAACUCUUAGACCUCAAAUUAAUUCGACACUAAGCAGUGAAAUGUGGUUUGGUUGAGAGAUCCGAGUUUCGGCAAAAGCUUGCAGUUGAGUUCCUAGUGAGUUCGUCGUUCGAGGUUGUGGAUCCGAGUUUCGGUUGUGGUUCGAUCACAAUUCAAUUGAGACAGAUUAUUUGUUGUACAUCUUGCUGGGAAUUUUAAUUAAAAUUGGAGAAGCUCCUACCUUAAGUGAGGUGUGGAUCAAUGUACCAGAUCUCAAGCAUGACAAAUACCCAGGACCACUGCAUUUAGGAGCUGCUUAUAGAUACUUUUAUGUUUUGAGUCUGUCAUUCAUGUUGUCUUUUACUUUCUGGUCUUGUACAGUAAUAUCGAUUCUUUUGUGAUAUUACUUCCCAUUUUGUAUUUGAAAAACCAAAAAAAAAAUUAAAUGAAAAAUCCAAAAAGAUUUUUGUUUUUUAGUUUAUUUUAUCCAUCAUUUUUUCAGAACUACGCUUGAUCAGAUUCAUGAGGGACAUGAUACGUAGGCAACAUACAUAGGGUUCGAUCGAAUCAU
Nicotiana tabacum (common tobacco) is the source of this 1018-nucleotide non-coding RNA. The record is from RefSeq and is a predicted model, not a curated record. Lineage: Eukaryota; Viridiplantae; Streptophyta; Magnoliopsida; Solanales; Solanaceae.